RNAcentral lists this ribosomal RNA (253 nucleotides) under uncultured bacterium. RNAcentral's name for it is "partial 16S ribosomal RNA". It matches the Rfam family "Bacterial small subunit ribosomal RNA", at positions 524 to 776 of the family's 1533-position model. The record is from RNAcentral.
UACGGAGGGUGCGAGCGUUGUCCGGAAUCAUUGGGCGUAAAGGGCGCGUAGGUGGCCCGGUCAGUCCGUGGUGAAAGCGCGGGGCUCAACCCCGCGUCGGCCAUGAAUACUGCUGGGCUGGAGCACUGUAGAGGCAGGCGGAAUUCCGGGUGUAGCGGUGGAAUGCGUAGAGAUCCGGAAGAACACCGGUGGCGAAGGCGGCCCGCUGGGCAGUGACUGACGCUGAGGCGCGACAGCGUGGGGAGCAAACAGG